AAGUGCAUGGGGUCGGGGGUGGGAGAACACAGACUCCCUGUCUGACGAUGAAUAGCUAAGCUGUGAAACCAAUCCACUGAGAAUCUACUAGGAAUUAGCCUGUCACAAAUGGCUCUGCUGUGGAGCCUCUCACUGAACCUGGAGUUCACUGAUUUGGCUGGAUUGGCUGUCUGUAAUCCCAGGGAUCUGUCUGCCUCUCCCUCCGCAGUGCUGGGAUCACAGGCCUGCGUCAUCACAUCUGGCUUUCUCCUGAGUGCUCUCAGUUUGAUCUCAGACAAGGACAUUUAUAGAUGGCCCAGUGUACUGGCUGGUUUUGUGAGUCAACUUAACACAAGCUGGAGUUAUCACAGAGAAGGGAGCUUCAG
This is a long non-coding RNA of Mus musculus (house mouse), 365 nucleotides long. RefSeq annotates it as predicted gene, 54168. The record is from RefSeq and is a predicted model, not a curated record. The transcript has 3 exons. Lineage: Eukaryota; Metazoa; Chordata; Mammalia; Rodentia; Muridae.